Molecule: long non-coding RNA, 1738 nt
Filed under: Dasypus novemcinctus (nine-banded armadillo)
Lineage: Eukaryota; Metazoa; Chordata; Mammalia; Cingulata; Dasypodidae
Description: lncRNA (ENSDNOG00000051787.1)
Source: RNAcentral
CCGCCCCGCCGGCGGCGGCUAUAUCAGGUGACCUCCCGGAAGCUGCGGAAGCGGAUGAGGGAAUCGCUGCUGCUGCCUUUGCUGCUGGGCCGGGCGCUCGGGGGCGGUGCGCAGCAGCCGGAACUGCUCGGCCUCCUGGCGCACCUCAGCGCGGCCCUCAUGCGGCGCGCUCGCUGACACCUGAAGUCCGCCCCCUCUCAGUCCUUCUGGGGAUCGCGGGGUCGGGCAGCCCACCGCGCCUGCCGCUCUCGGUGGUUGAAGCCGCCGUCGUGCGAGCCCGCGGCGGCCACCCAUGGAGAAGGCUGGGCGCGGCGGUGACGGCGCCCCCCGGGGGUCGGUACUGCACAUCGUGGUGGUCGGCUUCCACCACAAGAAGGGCUGCCAGCUUUUGUAAAAUAUCAAAAAUAGUGUUGAGGGAAGCGGACUUGGCUCAAUGGAUAGAGCAUCUACCUACCACAUGGGAGGUUCAAACCCAGGAUCUCCUUGACGGGUGUGGAGCUGGCCCACGCACAGUGCUGAUGCGCGCAAGGAGUGCCAUGCCACUCAGGGGUGUCCCCUGCAUAGGGGAGCCCCACACACAAGGAGUGCGCCCCAUAAGGAGAGCCGCCCAGCGCGAAAGAAAGUCCAGCCUGCCCAGGAGUGGCACCGCACACAUGGAGAGCUGACGCAGCAAGAUGACGCAAGAAAAAGAGACACAGAUUCCUGUGCCGCAGACAAGAAUAGAAGCGGACACAGAAGAACACACAGCGAAUGGACACAGAGAGCAGAAAACUAGGGGGGAGGGGGAAGGGGAGGAAAAAAAAUAGUGUUGAUUUUUUGGCAGUGGGAGAGCAGUAUUAGAAUAGCAAGUAUACUAAACUUUCCUAUAUGUUAUAUUAGUCCUUAAAGAUAUUCUUCUGCCAAUUAGUGUCUUUUUAGAUGUCCUACAACUCUGCUUUCUUAAUACUGCCUCCCCCCCAUCUAAAUACAUUUCAUGCUUUGUAAAAUGUUGUGUGUUACAUACAUAGAUCUUGUACAGAAUUAUUUACUGUUCAAGAGAAUGUUAUUGAUUUUUAACCAGUAUUUCAUGUGUUUCAGAGGUUCUAGUUGUGUAAGAUUUUUCCCAGGAUAGAUUAAUCAGCCACCUCAUUCUCUGUUUUGAGAUUUUAAUGGCCAGGUGCAAAGGAUUAAAAGUGUACGUUGCAUUGAAUUGUGACUCUGACUUCAAAUGGUUUUAGCUUGUGUGACAGUGCUUUGUUAGACUGCUCUUCCAAAUAGAUUGCUGUAAGCAGGUCAUGUUGCUAACAGUUCUUUUUUUUGAAAAAAUAAAUGGAAAAAUAUAAUUUUUAAAAAUAAAUGGAAAACAUAAUUAACAGUGCUUUCCAUAUGCAGAGAUUAUUCAUUGCUUUGCCAUCAUAAAGAAAAUCCCCAGUUUGCUGUAAAUUGUAACUCUGAUUCAGUGAACCGAACUAUUAAAAAAAGGUAAUGCCUUUCAGCAGUCUGCUUGAGUAAGCAUGAUAAAUUUACAAAGGGGGAUAUACUAAAUCUUUGUAGAAUGUCUUGUUAUAAGCUGCUCUCUAGUGUUAUGAUAAAGGAGUCAAGUCCUUUCUCAUGGGCCACAAAGGGGAAUGAAAGCAUUCUACUACAGUGAUGUUUAACACUCAAAAACUAGGUACAUAAAAGUUGUUCAUUCAUCUGGUUUCCUACAUUUUUCCACCUUUGAAGUCUUCAGAUGUAUUUUAAAUGAAGAGUACCUUCA